RNAcentral lists this ribosomal RNA (494 nucleotides) under uncultured bacterium. RNAcentral describes it as "partial 16S ribosomal RNA". It matches the Rfam family "Bacterial small subunit ribosomal RNA", at positions 28 to 507 of the family's 1533-position model. The record is from RNAcentral.
GACGAACGCUGGCGGCGUGCUUAACACAUGCAAGUCGAGCGGAAAGGCCUGCUUUCCCUUGUGGAUUGCGGGUACUCGAGUGGCGAACGGGUGAGUAAUACGUGAGUGAUCUGCCCCCAACUUGGGUAUAAGCCUGGGAAACUGGGUCUAAUUCCCGAUAGGACUGCAGGGUGGUGCCUGUGGUGGAAAACGAUUUUCUAGUGGUUGGGGAUGAGCUCGCGGCCUAUCAGCUUGUUGGUGGGGUAAUGGCCUACCAAGGCGGCGACGGGUAGCCGGCCUGAGAGGGUGGACGGCCACAUUGGGACUGAGAUACGGCCCAGACUCCUACGGGAGGCAGCAGUGGGGAAUAGUGCACAAUGGGCGGAAGCCUGAUGCAGCGACGCCGCGUGGGGGAUGACGGCCUUCGGGUUGUAAACUCCUUUCGACCGCGAGGAAGCCACCUGGUUGGAAGGGUGGUGACGGUAGUGGUAGAAGAAGCACCGGCUAACUACGUG